RNAcentral lists this ribosomal RNA (274 nucleotides) under uncultured bacterium. RNAcentral's name for it is "partial 16S ribosomal RNA". It matches the Rfam family "Bacterial small subunit ribosomal RNA", at positions 523 to 796 of the family's 1533-position model. The record is from RNAcentral.
AUACGGAGGGUGCAAGCGUUAUUCGGAAUUACUGGGCGUAAAGCGCGCGUAGGCGGAUGAUUAAGUCAGUUGUGAAAGCCCUGGGCUCAACCUAGGAACUGCAUCUGAUACUGGUCGUCUAGAGUUUAAGAGAGGGAAGUGGAAUUCCAGGUGUAGCAGUGAAAUGCGUAGAUAUCUGGAGGAACAACAGUGGCGAAGGCGACUUCCUGGCUUAAAACUGACGCUGAGGUGCGAAAGCGUGGGUAGCGAACGGGAUUAGAAACCCCAGUAGUCC